This 314-nucleotide ribosomal RNA is filed under the name Vectius niger. Its description in RNAcentral is "partial 12S ribosomal RNA". The record is from RNAcentral. Lineage: Eukaryota; Metazoa; Arthropoda; Arachnida; Araneae; Gnaphosidae.
AGGAAGUAAUAAUAAAAUAAACCUAUUUAUACCGGCGGCAUUUCAUCUAAUUAGAGGAACCUGUCAUAUAAUCGAUAAUCCACGAUAAAUCUUACUUACAUCAAAAAUUUAUAUAUCGCCAUCUAAAGAGUUAAUACAAUAAUAUAUUACUCUAAAUAAAAAAUAAAAAGUUAGGUCAAGGUGUAGUUUAUAUAUAAGUUUAGAUGGGUUACAUUAAAAUAAAUUUAAGGAUUAAAGUUAUAAAACCUUUAGAAAAAGGAUUUAAUAGUAAUAUAAUUAAUAAUAUUUUCAUAUGAAAAAGAUAAUAAAUGUGC